GGGGUGUUAGUUUAACUGGAAAAACAAUAGUUUUGCAAACUAUAAAAAAAGGUUCAAGUCCUGUACACUCCA
This 72-nucleotide transfer RNA is filed under the name Polyplacotoma mediterranea. RNAcentral's name for it is "tRNA-Ala". It matches the Rfam family "tRNA". From Rfam's summary of the family: Transfer RNA (tRNA) molecules are approximately 80 nucleotides in length. Lineage: Eukaryota; Metazoa; Placozoa. The record is from RNAcentral.